RNAcentral lists this ribosomal RNA (403 nucleotides) under uncultured bacterium. RNAcentral describes it as "partial 16S ribosomal RNA". It matches the Rfam family "Bacterial small subunit ribosomal RNA", at positions 28 to 527 of the family's 1533-position model. The record is from RNAcentral.
GACGAACGCUGGCGGCGUGCCUAAUACAUGCAAGUCGAACGCAGUGGGGACGGGUGAGUAACACGUGGGUAACCUCCCAUCAGAGGGGAUAACACUUGGAAACAGGUGCUAAACCGAUACUGAUGGAUGGACCCGCGGUGCAUUAGCUAGUUGGUGAGGUAACGGCUCACCAAGGCCACGAUUCAUAGCCGGCCUGAGAGGGUGAUCGGCAACACUGGGACUGAGACACGGCCCAGACUCAUACGUGAGGCAGCAGUGGGGAAUCUUCGGCAAUGGGCGAAAGCCGGACCGAGCAACGCCGCGUGAGUGAAGAAGGUUUUCGGAUUGUAAAGUUCUUUUAUUGGAGAGGCGGUAUCUAAAGAAGAAGCCACGGCUAACUACGUGCCAGCAGCCGCGGUAAUUG